RNAcentral lists this ribosomal RNA (510 nucleotides) under uncultured bacterium. RNAcentral describes it as "bacterial SSU rRNA". It matches the Rfam family "Bacterial small subunit ribosomal RNA", at positions 36 to 518 of the family's 1533-position model. The record is from RNAcentral.
CUGGCGGCGUGCCUAAUACAUGCAAGUCGAACGGUCUUUUCUAUGGAAGCUUGCUUCCACUGAGAAGAUAGUGGCGAACGGGUGAGUAACACGUGGGUAACCUGCCCAUAAGAGGGGGAUAACAUCCGGAAACGGGUGCUAAUACCGCAUAGUUUUCUUGAUCGCAUGAUUGAGAAAGGAAAGACGGCCUUUGUGCUGUCGCUUAUGGAUGGACCCGCGGCGUAUUAGUUAGUUGGUGAGGUAACGGCUCACCAAGACGAUGAUACGUAGCCGACCUGAGAGGGUGAUCGGCCACAUUGGGACUGAGACACGGCCCAAACUCCUACGGGGGGCAGCAGUAGGGAAUCUUCCGCAAUGGACGAAAGUCUGACGGAGCAACGCCGCGUGAGUGAAGAAAGGUUUUCGGAUCGUAAAACUCUGUUGUCAGAGAAGAACAAGUUGGAGAGUAACUGCUCCAGCCUUGACGGUAUCUGACCAGAAAGCCACGGCUAACUACGUGCCAGCAGCGGC